CCCUUAGAUGUUCUGGGCCGCACGCGCGCUACACUGAUUCAUGCAACAAGUUUUGUCCUUGGCUGAUAGGCCUGGGUAAUCUUUGAACGUGAAUCGUGAUGGGGAUAGAUGAUUGCAAUUAUUCAUCUUCAACGAGGAAUUCCUAGUAAACGUAAGUCAUCAGCUUGCAUUGAUUACGUCCCUGCCCUUUGUACACACCGCCCGUCGCACCUACCGAUUGAAUGGUCCGGUGAAAUCUUCGGAUCUGAGAGAUGUCUGAUUAAUUUCGGACGCCUUUUGGAAAAGUUGCUUAAACCUUACCAUUUAGAGGAAGGUGAAGUCGUAACA
Molecule: ribosomal RNA, 327 nt
Filed under: uncultured eukaryote
Lineage: Eukaryota
Description: partial 18S ribosomal RNA
Rfam family: Eukaryotic small subunit ribosomal RNA
Source: RNAcentral